CUGAAAUUCAGACAACCAUAAAUUUUAGUCCGGAGAUAAACUCUAUUUCCCUGAAUUUUAAGGGUACAAUUAGUUUGCAUCCUAGAACUACAAGACUAGAAAGUUUCUGUGAUUUAUUCAUACUUGAAGCUAAUCAUGCAGAGUUUUCUGCAACACUAUUUUCAUAAACUACAAGGUAAUUUCUUCUUGUAAGUAAACAAAAAAAAAAAGAAUUCAUGUUCUGGAGCUUACAAUCCAAAUGAAAACUGUCGACCGACUCCAUAAUUUCAAAUGUCUUUU
RNAcentral lists this unclassified non-coding RNA (279 nucleotides) under Hevea brasiliensis (rubber tree). Lineage: Eukaryota; Viridiplantae; Streptophyta; Magnoliopsida; Malpighiales; Euphorbiaceae. The record is from RNAcentral.